RNAcentral lists this ribosomal RNA (246 nucleotides) under uncultured bacterium. RNAcentral describes it as "partial 16S ribosomal RNA". It matches the Rfam family "Bacterial small subunit ribosomal RNA", at positions 526 to 771 of the family's 1533-position model. The record is from RNAcentral.
CGUAUGGUGCAAGCGUUAUCCGGAUUUACUGGGUGUAAAGGGUGCGUAGGUGGCAAGGCAAGUCUGAAGUGAAAAUCCGGGGCUCAACCCCGGAACUGCUUUGGAAACUGUUUAGCUGGAGUACAGGAGAGGUAAGUGGAAUUCCUAGUGUAGCGGUGAAAUGCGUAGAUAUUAGGAGGAACACCAGUGGCGAAGGCGACUUACUGGACUGCUACUGACACUGAGGCACGAAAGCGUGGGGAGCAA